GGCAAGAUGGCCGAGUGGUUAUGGCGUGUGACUCAAGCGAAAGCUUGCCUGUUCACCAGGCAGUAUUCUCAUGGGCUUUGCCCGCGGGGGUUCGAAUCCCCCUCUUGUCA
Molecule: non-coding RNA, 110 nt
Organism: Glonium stellatum
Lineage: Eukaryota; Fungi; Ascomycota; Dothideomycetes; Gloniales; Gloniaceae
Source: the annotation of a GenBank genome assembly